RNAcentral lists this long non-coding RNA (952 nucleotides) under Homo sapiens (human). RNAcentral's name for it is "HSALNT0365575". The record is from RNAcentral. Lineage: Eukaryota; Metazoa; Chordata; Mammalia; Primates; Hominidae.
GCUAUGAACGAAACAAAUAUCCCUGCUCAGGGAAUUCACAAUAGAGUGAGGGGAAAUAAGCGAAUAAACAAUGAAUCUCUUGUUCUGAGGGAAGCCAUGUACAUCAUUAGCAGUUCUAUAAAGAGGAUCACAUGGCAAGAAACUGAAACAUUCUGCCAGCUGCCCUGUGAAAGAACUUGGAAGUAGACCCUCCAGCCCUAAUCAAGUCUUCAGAGACUGUACUCAGCCAACAAUUGACUGCAACCUCAUAAGAGACCCUGAGCCAGACCGCCCAACGAGAAACUGUGUGAGAUAAUGUUUGUUGUAUUAAGAUGCUAAAUUUGAGGGUCAUUUGUUAUACAAUGAGAGAAGUAGGAGGUAAGGGACUAUGAAAAGUUGGUAGAGUCAAGAAGUUGUAGGUUCCUGUGGUGGUCUAAAGUUUGUUAGAACAGGAUACUCAAAAGAAUGUGCUAAGAUAAGAGGUGGUCUGAGAGUAGGCUGCUUGGAGCUGAGUGUAUGCAGAGGUUGUGGUUAUUGGUGCUGUCAAAGUCUAUGGUAUGACCAAAGGAGGGAAAGCUAAGGUGGGUUAAAGAACAAGAUCACUGGAGAAGAGGUCAUAGAAACCAAACACCAGAGCAUUGAUUGGAUGAUCCAUGAGGAUACUGAAAUCACCAAAAAAUAUAACAAGAAUGAUGUUGGAGAAAGCCAGAAGCAACAAUCUUGAAAAGGCUUGGAGGUUGGUGGACUAUGGAAAUUAUGUUAGACAAAAAACAAAUGCAAGCAGUUUUCUUAUUCGAGUUCAAAAUGGGCUGCAAAGCAGCAGAGACAACUUGCAACAUCAAGAGUGCAUUUGGCCCAGGAACUGCUAAUGAACGUACAGUGCAGUGGUGGUUCAAGAAGUUUUGCAAAGGAUGGCCAGGCGCAGCAGCUCACACCUAUAAUCCCAGCACUUUGGGAGGCCAAGGCAUCCGGA